CNGGUUACCUUGUUACGACUUCACCCCAGUCAUGAAACACAAAGUGGUAAUCGUCCUCCCGAAGGUUAGACUAACUACUUCUUUUGCAUCCCACUCCCAUGGUGUGACGGGCGGUGUGUACAAGGCCCGGGAACGUAUUCACCGCAGUAUUCUGACCUGCGAUUACUAGCGAUUCCGACUUCAUGGAGUCGAGUUGCAGACUCCAAUCCGGACUACAACAUUCUUUAAGGGGUCCGCUCCACAUCACUGUCUCGCUUCCCUCUGUAAAUGCCAUUGU
RNAcentral lists this ribosomal RNA (277 nucleotides) under uncultured gamma proteobacterium DCM-ATT-14. Its description in RNAcentral is "partial 16S ribosomal RNA". Lineage: Bacteria; Pseudomonadati; Pseudomonadota; Gammaproteobacteria. The record is from RNAcentral.